RNAcentral lists this long non-coding RNA (758 nucleotides) under Marmota monax (woodchuck). Lineage: Eukaryota; Metazoa; Chordata; Mammalia; Rodentia; Sciuridae. The record is from RNAcentral.
CAAAACUCAAAGUGGAUCAUGGACCUAAGCACCAGACCAGAGACCCUGCGCCUACUAGAAGUAAGCCCAACUCCCCAUCAUGUUGGCUUAGGAACCUAAUUCCUCAACAAGACUCUUAAAGUACAAGAAAUAAAGUUUAAAAAAUCAAUAAGUAGGAUGGUAUCAAACUAAAAAACUUCUUCACAGCAAAGGAAACUAUCAAGAAUAUGAACAGAGAGCCUACAGAAUGUAAGAAAAUCUUUGCCACCUGCACCUCAAAUAGAGAGCACUAAUCUCCAGCAUAUAUGAAGAACUCAAAAACGUAACACCAAAAAAAUCCAAAUAACCUAAUUAAUAAAUGGGCAAAGGAACUGAACAGACACGUCAGAAGAAAUACAAAUGGUCAACAAAUAUAUAAAAAAUGUUCAACAUCAAUAGCAAUUAAAGAAAUGCAAACUAAAACUACACUGAGAUUUCAUCUCACUCCAAUCAGAAUGGCAAUUAUCAAGAAUACAAGUAAUAAUAAAUGUUGGCAAGGAUGUGGGCAAAAAGAUACACUCAUACAUUACUGGUGGGACUGCAAAUUGGUGCAAACACUCUGGAAAGCAGUGUGGAGAUUCCUCAGAAAACUUGGAAUGGACCACCAUUUAUUUGACCCAGUUAUCCCACUCCUGGGCAUGUACCCAAAGGACUUAAAAUUAGCAUAUUAUAUUGAUGUGGCCACAUCAAUGUUUAUAGCAGCUCAGUUCACAAUAGCUAAGCUAUGGAACCAACCUAUG